Long non-coding RNA from Sycon ciliatum, 1571 nucleotides. RefSeq lists it as uncharacterized. The record is from RefSeq and is a predicted model, not a curated record. The transcript has 3 exons. Lineage: Eukaryota; Metazoa; Porifera; Calcarea; Leucosolenida; Sycettidae.
AAUUAGAAUCUAGAAGUAAAGUAAUGGCUGACGUUGUCGAACAUUCAGAAGCACUGGAGGCGUUCCACAGCUUGGAGACCGCAGAUAAAGGUUUUGAUGCGACUUGAUUACUGGAGAGUGAUGUCACUGCACACCAGGCAUUGAGGAUGUUCAGAAGGAUGCCGGUCGGAGGAAGGAUGGCGGUCACUUUGAUGCCGAGGUCAUUCAGCAACUGGCCACAUGCCUGGAGACUUGCUACAACUCCCUCGCUGCGUCCAUCACACAACGAACCAAUCGGGUGGAGGUGUCGCGCAAGUUCCAAUCAUUCCUACGGGACAUUGACGAAGAAGAUGUACUUCUGAAAAGAUGGUGAGAUCUGCUGUGGAAAUGCGUCGCCCAAUGUUUGCAGUUAUGACCAACGCUGCAGCUGCUGCUGGAGAUGCGAACACUACUGCAGCGGCGUCUAACUGAACCUCUGCGAAUGCGCCAACUGGUGGUGCUGCCGAUACUGCGGAGAGCACAGCUGUGUGUAUUGGCGUCACUGACAGUGCCAAUGAUCAAGCUGAUCAUGCUGAUCGUGCACCAUCAGGUCAAGGUCGGAACGAUGACAAUGAUGCUGCUGCAACCAACCCUGAGCUGGGUGAGUCUGAGCGAGUCACGCUACUAAUCGACUUGAACGCGGAACCCGCAGGGGACGUGUCUGAUAUUGCUGCUGCUGCUGUCGGAGCACCGGUGAUGAAGUGAUAGUGGUCGACAGACUUCCCACCGGUCGUGGGAGAAUUGAACCAUACGUGGCUUCAGUUACACCGUAUGAUGAGCAAUAGUAGAGAAGACAAGGAUGACUGAAGUGAAUGAUCGUAGGUAAUGAGUUGCCACAAGGCUUAGAGAGAAUAGGUAGUUGAGCAGUGCCGCUGUCACUGUGGUACUAUGCUGCACACAACCGAUACCACCACCAGCUCCGGCGUCGCUGCUGAUACAUUGCUAGGGUGGCUAGAGAAGUGACUCAGGACUACUAGCAACAGCAGCAACAGCAAUGACGGCUGUGGCAGUGGCAGUGUGGGCGGCAUUGUUAACCUGUGAGAAUGAUAGACUACGUGCGCAUGCUACUCAGAUCACAGAUGUGAAUCUACCGAGGAGUGAUACUGCCCUUUGUAUCUUCUUGGUGUCUAUUUAUUGUAGCGAGCAUGGAAGUCUCUGUCUUGUCCAGUGGCGCUACUCUUUCUACUUGUUUGUGAGUGGCUGUUCUAUUCUUUCCGGCUCUCUCUCUCUCUCUCUCUCUCUCUCUCUCUCUCUCUCUCUCUCUCUCUCUCUCUCUCUCUCGUGUUACUGUUGAGCUUCGAAGCUAGUACCGCCUCACUAUUAUUUUGAUGAUUUUGCCUUUUGAUCUGGCUGAGCAGCAGUGAGUGUUUGCACACUAUUGCUGGAACUCUCUUGCUUUUCUAUGUUUUGAUUGUCGGUUUGAUUUAUGCUUCUUCUGCUUUCUGCUGAAUUCUCUUGUUGUGUUAUGUGGUUUCUGGCGGAUGGUGCCAUGCUUAUGUUUAUUUUCGUAUAUGUUUCAUUGUUUGGUUUUAUGAUGUCGUCGUUGUAGCAGG